This 448-nucleotide ribosomal RNA is filed under the name uncultured bacterium. Its description in RNAcentral is "bacterial SSU rRNA". It matches the Rfam family "Bacterial small subunit ribosomal RNA", at positions 329 to 793 of the family's 1533-position model. The record is from RNAcentral.
AUCCAGACUCCUACGGGAGGCAGCAGUGGGGGAUAUUGCACAAUGGGGGAAACCCUGAUGCAGCGACGCCGCGUGAGUGAAGAAGUAUUUCGGUAUGUAAAGCUCUAUCAGCAGGGAAGAAAAAAGACGGUACCUGACUAAGAAGCCCCGGCUAACUACGUGCCAGCAGCCGCGGUAAUACGUGGGGGGCAAGCGUUAUCCGGAUUUACUGGGUGUAAAGGGAGCGUAGACGGCGUGCCAAGUCUGAUGUGAAAGGCCGGGGCUCAACCCCGGGACUGCAUUGGAAACUGGCAUGCUGGAGUGCCGGAGGGGCAAGCGGAAUUCCUAGUGUAGCGGUGAAAUGCGUAGAUAUUAGGAGGAACACCAGUGGCGAAGGCGGCUUACUGGACCGUAACUGACGUUGAGGCUCGAAAGCGUGGGGAGCAAACAGGAUUAGAUACCCCUGUAU